This 77-nucleotide transfer RNA is filed under the name Candidatus Endomicrobium macrotermitis. RNAcentral's name for it is "tRNA-Pro". It matches the Rfam family "tRNA". Rfam says of the family: Transfer RNA (tRNA) molecules are approximately 80 nucleotides in length. Their secondary structure includes four short double-helical elements and three loops (D, anti-codon, and T loops). Further hydrogen bonds mediate the characteristic L-shaped molecular structure. tRNAs have two regions of fundamental functional importance: the anti-codon, which is responsible for specific mRNA codon recognition, and the 3' end, to which the tRNAs corresponding amino acid is attached (by aminoacyl-tRNA synthetases). tRNAs cope with the degeneracy of the genetic code in two manners: having more than one tRNA (with a specific anti-codon) for a particular amino acid; and 'wobble' base-pairing, i.e. permitting non-standard base-pairing at the 3rd anti-codon position. Lineage: Bacteria; Pseudomonadati; Elusimicrobiota; Endomicrobiia; Endomicrobiales; Endomicrobiaceae. The record is from RNAcentral.
CGGGGAGUAGCGUAAUUGGCUAUCGCGCCUGCUUUGGGAGCAGGAGGCUGCAGGUUCAAGUCCUGUCUCCCCGACCA